RNAcentral lists this transfer RNA (74 nucleotides) under Actinomycetes bacterium. RNAcentral describes it as "tRNA-Ala". It matches the Rfam family "tRNA". Rfam says of the family: Transfer RNA (tRNA) molecules are approximately 80 nucleotides in length. Their secondary structure includes four short double-helical elements and three loops (D, anti-codon, and T loops). The record is from RNAcentral. RNAcentral also lists the same sequence under 1 other name. Lineage: Bacteria; Bacillati; Actinomycetota; Actinomycetes.
GGGGCCAUAGCUCAGUUGGCUAGAGCGCCUGCUUUGCAAGCAGGAGGGCGUCGGUUCGAGUCCGACUGGCUCCA